UUGACGCCCGUCCGCUGCAAAUUGUUUAUUUUGAGAACUUUUUAACUUAAGUUUCUCGCGUGUGAGUCAUGGAAAUCGCAAAUCGAACUGAGAAUAACGAAAAGAGAAGUGCGUCGUAUGUUGUCAUGUCCAUGUUGCUGCAUUGGAGUAUUUUCAAGCUAGAAGAGGGAUGUCUAACCUUACCUGGUCACCGGGUGCAUCAUUUGAACAUUAGUGCAAGUUUGUGUUCAAAUAGUGUCCUUUCGCAGAGCAGUGAUAUGAAACUACAAAGAUGAUUGCCUUCUUGACCAACAUUUGAGGAAUGGUCGUUGAACAUUCAUGUGUGUCUCUUUGGAUAAAGUCAACGUACUGAACUCAGCAACAACUACACCGUAUGGCAGGCAUUUUCGCUUCAUUUUUUCGAGCCGCCCCGACGCGUGCGCGUCGCCGUGGUCGCCGCCUCGCUGUCGUCCACCCCAACCUGCAGCUGGUCAUUCUGGUGCGGGGCCGGCAGUGCGAGGCGAGGGCGAGGUGCGGGCCAAACCGGACUUCCCAAACGGGACGGUGCUGCGGGACGGGCACGCGACCCGGCCAGGCUGUGCGCGCUGCUCCUGCCGCACUGACUCCAUCGACAUCGGCAUGCUGUCCGUACGCGGCUGGGGAAAAGCAUCGAUUACUUCUCGCUCUCUCACACACACACACACACACACACACACACACACACACCUACGCGAACACACACACACACACCAAGCGCAUAAUGCUCGCUUCUGACGAAACUGUCAUGAAGACAUCCAUCCUUCUUCAAGACGAGGCGUGUACGCUCCGGUACGCUCUGUAUCUUACACACACACACACACACAGAGAGAGAGAGAGAGAGAGAGAGAGAGAGAGAGAGAGAGAGAGAGAGAGUCCAGUAUACGUCCCGAAGUACGUCCCCGCCACCCCUGGCCAUGCAAGGGCUCAGCCUGCAGCCCUUUGGCUCGACGGCCACCACGUGACGCUGCAAACCAUCCCUUCGUUUUCCAUUCAUUGGAAAUGAAUAUAAAAAGGUGACCUUUUCUCGCACAUCGCACCAAAAUAAAA
Molecule: long non-coding RNA, 1065 nt
Organism: Thrips palmi
Lineage: Eukaryota; Metazoa; Arthropoda; Insecta; Thysanoptera; Thripidae
Exons: 3
Source: RefSeq, a predicted model, not a curated record